UCCAAUGUGUAGCAAUACACAUGAAGAUCUAGUGGCGAACGGGUGAGGAACACGUGAGAAAACGUACCCCCAGACUUUUGGGAUAACAGUUUCGAAAGGACUGCUAAUACCAAAAUAACGUCGGAAGUUCCGCAUGGACUAUCUGACGAAAAGGGAUUCCGGUUUUGGGAGCGUCUCGCGGACCUAUCAGCUAGUUGGAGGGGUAACGGCCCACCAAGGCAACGACGGGUAGCUGGUCUGAGAGGAUGGUCAGCCACACUGGGACUGAGACACGGCCCAGACUCC
RNAcentral lists this ribosomal RNA (285 nucleotides) under uncultured bacterium. RNAcentral describes it as "partial 16S ribosomal RNA". It matches the Rfam family "Bacterial small subunit ribosomal RNA", at positions 68 to 339 of the family's 1533-position model. The record is from RNAcentral.